This is a long non-coding RNA of Perca fluviatilis (European perch), 387 nucleotides long. RefSeq lists it as uncharacterized. The record is from RefSeq and is a predicted model, not a curated record. The transcript is spliced from 3 exons. Lineage: Eukaryota; Metazoa; Chordata; Actinopteri; Perciformes; Percidae.
ACAAGGCAAGUACAAAAGGUAAAAGAUGGCCGAGGCAGAGAGGGAUUUCAAAAAAGGAAGAAAAAAAACCUACAGGAGAACACUCAACAGGCUUGGAGCGGUUACAAACAAACGACUGGCCGCCAAUGCUUCCAGUAAGCAAGAGGAGAACCGCUCAGUCUGAGGUCCCUCGUGGCUUUCAUCUGGGCCUGAUCUGAUGCAAAAAAAACUCAACGCAACUUUGCAUUCUGCUGUAAUGCUGUUGGACAUCAUUGUAAGGACCUGAGAUAGAGUGAUUUAAUGAGGAUGAAGAGCAGGCCAGCCAGCAGGCAGAAGAAGACAGCGACCGGAGCGAGGAGGAAUGAAGGACCGUGCUGGAUGCUGAGGUGGAAGGAGGGGCAGGUGGAG